GUUAGAUCCUGGCUCAAGAUGACCUUUAGCGGCAGGCUUAACACAUGCAAGUCGAGGGGCAGCAUGUCCAGCAAUGGAUGAUGGCGACCGGCGGAAGGGUGCAUAACGCGUGAGCAACAUGCCCUAUACAGGGAGAUACACCAGGGAAACUUGGUCUAAUAUCCCAUAGCAUUCAUUGAAGGCAUCUUUAAUGAAUUAAAGCUUCGGUGGUAUAAGAUUGGCUCGCGUGACAUUAGCCAGAUGGUGAGGUAACGGCUCACCAUAACAAUGAUGUCUAGGGGUUUUGAGAGGAACGCCCCCCACACUGGGACUGAGACACCGCCCACACUCCUACGGGAGGCAGCAGUGAGGAAUAUUGGACAAUGGAUGGAAAUCUGAUCCACCCAUGCCGCGUGCAAGAAGACCGCCUUAUGGGUUGUAAACUGCUUUUAUACGGGAGCAAUAAGGGUUACGAGUAAUCCGAUGAGAGUACUGUAUGAAUAAGGAUCGGCUAACUCCGUGCCAGCAGCCGCGGUAAUACGGAGGAUCCGAGCGUUAUCCGGAAUUAUUGUGUUUAAAGGGUGCGUGGGCGGCCGUUUGGGUCUGCGGUGUCCUUUUGCGGCUUGGCUGUGCCGGUGCCGUUGGUCCUGUUUGGCUGGGGUUUGGUUGUGGUGUGCGGCCUGUGUGGUGUGGCGGUGGGCUGCUUUGUUGUCGCGCGGCCCUCCGGUUGCGGGCGCCGCUCGCUGUGUCGUUCUUGNCGCUGCGGCNCGUGGGGUGCCAUGAAAGGGCUUUCUCUCCCCUUCUUUCCNNCNCUNUCACCCCUAAAGGGCGCUGUCGGCGAUACACAGUCGGUGGCCAAGCGAAAGCAUUAAGUUAUCCACCUGGGGAGUACGACCGCAAGGUUGAAACUCAAAGGAAUUGACGGGGGCCCGCACAAGCGGAGGAACAUGUGGUUUAAUUCGAUGAUACGCGAGGAACCUUACCCGGGCUCGAACGGUGCAUGAAUAUACGAGAGAUUGUAUAGUCCUUCGGGACAUGUAUCGAGGUGCUGCAUGGUUGUCGUCAGCUCGUGCCGUGAGGUGUCGGCUUAAGUGCCAUAACGAGCGCAACCCUUGUCAUUAGUUGCCAUCAGGUCAAGCUGGGGACUUUAAUGAGACUGCCACCGUAAGGUGUGAGGAAGGGGGGGAUGACGUCAAAUCAGCACGGCCCUUAUGUCCGGGGCGACACACGUGUUACAAUGGGAGGUACAGAGGGCAGCUAUCCGGUGACGGAAGGCUAAUCUCCAAAACCUUUCUCAGUUCGGAUUGGAGUCUGCAACUCGACUCCAUGAAGGUGGAUUCGUUAGUAAUCGCGCAUCAGCCAUGGCGCGGUGAAUACGUUCCCGGGCCUUGUACACACCGCCCGUCAAG
RNAcentral lists this ribosomal RNA (1388 nucleotides) under uncultured bacterium. RNAcentral describes it as "partial 16S ribosomal RNA". It matches the Rfam family "Bacterial small subunit ribosomal RNA". The record is from RNAcentral.